AAGCAGCGUUUAGUGACCAAUGAAGUAGUGAGAGUAAUAGCCAUGACAGAGAGAGAGUGAGAGAAAGUGAUGACAAUGAGAAAGAUGAAACAAAGUGGCAAAGAGAUCAUCGUAUGAAUGAGAAAGGAAGGGGUGAUAGAUAAAUAAUGAAGAAAGGAGUGAAAAAGCUG
Molecule: long non-coding RNA, 170 nt
Organism: Octopus sinensis (East Asian common octopus)
Lineage: Eukaryota; Metazoa; Mollusca; Cephalopoda; Octopoda; Octopodidae
Exons: 3
Source: RefSeq, a predicted model, not a curated record